UGUAUCGUGCAGCCGUGCGUGGCUGCGAAGCACGAUGUCCACCCGCGGACGGACGACGGCCAACUGACUGGCGUUCGCGCCACACAAUUACUCGUCCAAGGAAGUACUAGCCGAUGCCACAUUUUAAAAUAUUAUGUAUAAUCCGUCAUGUCUAUGGCACUACGAACACAUGGUUGCGGGAAUUAGUGACACUUCAAAGACUGCUCCUCUUUGCAUUACUUUCAAGUUUCUUGACUUACAAGAUGAAGAGACAAUCUGACCAAUGAAGAUGAUCAUAAUCAAGAGAAUAUAACAUAUAAUCCAUGUUGCAUUAUCCACGUUUGUAAAGAAGAUAAGCUUUCAUGUGAUAAACUCACAAUCGAUACUUUGAUGUUUAACGUGAUAAUGUUUUGACGCUUUGAAUGCUUUAUAGUUUUUGUGGUCACGGAGGAUGAAAGUCGAAAAUAAUAUGAUGACAAUAAAAACCGCGAGCGGUUUAACGCUCGGCGCGGUCAUAAAACCUCCAUCUUCGGAUCCGAGAUACAUUCUUGACAAAGCUUUUACGCUCUGAGGAAC
This is a long non-coding RNA of Bombyx mandarina (wild silkworm), 555 nucleotides long. NCBI's taxonomy places the organism in Eukaryota, Metazoa, Arthropoda, Insecta, Lepidoptera, Bombycidae. The record is from RefSeq and is a predicted model, not a curated record.